UAACCAAACUGCAGUCAAUGUUUAAAUUUGAAGCAUGACUUCUGCGAUCUCGCAACAAUUUAGUACAUCGAUCAUUCAAAUAAUGCAUGUAGAUCAACAUACAACACCAAUGUUGUAAAAUAUCAUCUUAAAGUUUGCGCAUAAGCAGAGGAGCACCAUACUGAGGAUGAAUAGUCACUAUUGCAAAUGGAGCAUGUGUAUAUGAUGGUGAUAGUUCGAAGGAGAACUUUUGUAGUAUCAUUGCUAUUGCCAUUUUUGCUUCCAUCAUUGCAAAGUUUUGUCCGAUGCAAACACGCGGUCCCCAGCUAAAUGGUAUAAAAGAGACUUGUCCUUUGGUUGCCUUUGACACUCCUUCACUGAAUCUUUCUGGUUUGAAUUCCUUUGCGUCUUCACCCCAUAUCUCCUUAUCAUAAUGUACUAGGAUUGCGGGUAUGAUGAGUUGCAUUUCGGCUGGUAGGUUUAGCUCCCCUAAUUUCACUUCUUCUUUAUUCAUUCUACCAAUUACUGGCAAUGGGGGGAAUAGCCUUAAUGUCUCGUACAAGAUCAUUGUUACCUAAGGAAAAAAGUACUGCAUAAAUUGACAGUAGAAUGAGAGUGUUUGGGUAAAGCUUUGACCAAAAGUCCUUUUAACCCAAAAAAAACCAAAAGCUAUAAGUUGAUUAGCCGCAGCUUAUGAUUUUUCUGCUUAUAACUUUUAUAGCACUUUUGGUCUAUUUUUACAACUGUCUAUUUUCACAAUCCAUUUCAACACAUAAGAAUGUUUUUCGACACUUAGCUUGUUUAUGUUUAUUAACUAAUCUCAAUUAGUUAAAGCCAAUUGAGCUCUCUAAGUUCAUUUCUUGUCUCGACAGUCCAGUAGAAUAACUAUAUUGAGGACACAAAACGUAGUAAUUAUAACAUUGGAAGAAAAGUACUUACAAUUUUCAAGCGAUUUAGUCUUUCCAAAUCUGGUUUAUUAUUUCCAAAGACGUGCAACACCUCCUCUCUGGCACGUACUUGCCACUCUGGAUGUAAGCACAGCAAAAUCAUUGUCCAGACGAGCAACACUGAAGUAGUCUCUUGUCCAGCAAAAUAGAAUAACUUGCACUCUUCAAUCACUUCAACUGUUGUCAUUCCGAAAUCUUUGCUUCCGUGUUGUUCAAUUUCUUUCAUAUUGGAUUCAAGUAAUAUGCCUAAUAAGUCAUCUUUACUAGGCUCCCCUGCUUCCAUUGCCCUCAAUCUUUUGUCGAUGAUACACCUGAUCGUUGUUUGGACUUGCUUUUCGAUUUCCAGCAUUCUUUUGUUCCUUUUAGUAGGCAAGAACCUAUAUAAACAAGAAAAGUCUGUUAGUAGAAAAAAUUUCAUAUUUAAUUACAGAGAGAUUUGACAAGCGCAAAAGUAAGUUUUGAACGUGGAAAUGUGAUGUACCUUGAUCCUGGUAUAUAAAUUGAUCGUCCUUUUUCGAUUACAUACUCAGCUUGUUCUUUCUGAAGUUCAAAUACUGUUCUUCCUUCUUCAUAGCUACUCCCAAAUGCUGUACGAGAUAUGACUUCACUAGCCAUUAUUUGAAGGUCUGGCCAUACAUCGAGUUCAAAUGAUGUUCCCUUUGGAACAAUUUCCUCCCAUUUGCUUAGCAUUUCACUACAACUCACAUAAAAUGCUGGCAGCAUAUGCUGUAAAUGAAAAAACCAGCAAAUGCUUGUUAUAAAAUUAGUUGUCUUACUUCCCUUCUAAGUCUCUUUAAAAAAGAACGUUUCUUUCUAUAUAAUAUAUCCUACAUGGAAUGUUUAGACCACAAGAUUUAAAUGAUAUUUUGGUAUAUUAUACACAACAUCUAUAGUUUAAGACCACAAGAUCCAAGAGACUCCCUUAUUUUCUUAACCAUUGUCCUUGCCCAAUCAAACUACAACAACAUACUCAGUGUAAUCCCACAAGUGAGGUCUGAAAAGGGUGGUGUGUACGUCGACCUUACCCCUACCUUGUAAAGGUAGAGAGGUCAAGUAUAACAAUUCAAAAUAGGUUUGAAAAGCUAAUGAAGAAAAAACGUUGAAAAUAAUGGAGAAGGGAACAAAUAUAACGGAAGGAGUAAUAAAGUAGAACCUUUAACUUCUCUACGUGGAACACGGGAUUGAUGAUUUUUCUGUGUUUGGCCCAUUUGUCUCCAUCAAUGGCUGAUAGACCGUCAGCCAAUAACUUGGUCAUUGGAUUGACAUGACGCUGCUUUACAUACACAUAAUUCUUUGUGAAAAUCUCUUUUACAUGUUCAGGAUCUGUGAUCAACACUGUUGGAUAUGGGCCUAGCCACACAAAAGAACUUUUACCUGCCAGUAAUCUGUUUCCGAUUAGAAAAAAAGAAGAAGAAGGUAUAGCACAUAAACAAACACUCAAAUUUGAUUUCAGUCGACAAAUAAUCACUCCAACUUUGAGGUUCAAAUCUAGACACCUCAACUUAGUCUCAACUAGCAACUAAACGCUUCACUCGUCUCCACUGUGUCUUAUAGACACCCAACGCUAGCGUAACACAUAAAUAUUACACGUGUCUAAAUGAUCAUCACAUAAUAGAGACAAGUUGAAGUGUUAGAUGUGCAUACUCAAAGUUGCGGUGUUUACUUUCCAACUGAAUCAAUAAAAGAAACAUAUACCAUUUUUGUUGAUGGAGUUGAGGAAAAAGGGAUGAGUCUUUGAGCUAUAUCAUCAGAGAAAUUGAUAGGCUUAGACUUUGCUUCAACUAUACUUUUUGUGAAUUCAUUCAAAUCUCCAUAGAGUAACUUAUAUGGAUUUCCUUUUAGACCCCUUUGCCUUAAGAUAUUCUCCAAUUUUUUUGGCCUAAACCAUGCCCAAUUCAACACUCUCCAUGUAAAUACCAACAAUAUUGCAACACAAAUUGUUGCUAUAAUUGUGUUGGACAAAAUCUCCAUCAAAUUAUCUUUCUAGCUGUUUAUUUUUACAUAGAAAAAAGAGGGGAAAUAGCUAAUUUACCUUUUUGAUUUGUUGUUGUUUCGACAAGAUAAGGCCUAGCUGUUCUCUCCACCACAAAUACAUCAUGGUACCAUACUAAUAAAGAGUUUUGUCCAAUCUGUUUGGAUCCACUGAUCAAUUUUAUGAUUUUUCUAGGAAAAUUAAUAAGCGGAUUUCUUAUUUAUUUUCUUCUACUCUAUAUAAAUGUAUAUAUAUCCCUCGUCAUAUUGGGAGAAAUAUAUUUGGACUUAAAGUAUAACUGAAAGGGUAUAUUUGGAAUUCUACCCAAAGGUAUAACAAGGAGUAUAUUUAAACUAUUUCUUUUAGCACUAGAGUAUAUUUGGUCGUUUCUCCAUAUAUAUAAUCUAGAAAAAUACUAUGGGAGGCAGGGAUGGGGCCUAGGAAUUGUGAGGGUGAAGAAGAGGUGUGUUGGAAGGUCAAGAAGACACAAUCAAUGUGAAAUGUCACUUGUGAUACUUGUUUUUCCUACUUCUACUACAAAAGUCAUAUUCCAGCUCAUUUUUAAGUAAUUUUCGUAAAAAAAAUGUAUUCCAAAAUUUUGAUCAAUCAAAAAUGAAAAAAUUGAAAUUUCUCCGUACCAAACACACACACAUAUAAGUAAAUAAAAAUGUAUUGUUAUUCCUCUUAAAUUUUACAAAAAACAAAAUUAUGUCAUGAGUUAUUGAACUUAACCAGCUGUAGCCAUGAUAUCUUACCAAUCACAUUUGCUCAAGGCAUACAACUUAACAAUAGGAUCUUUACCCUACCAUGAAUCCAAAAUCAACUAAUUUGUAACCCCAAAAACCCAAAUCUGGUUUAUCAUUUCCAAAUACCCACAACACCUCCUCUCUAGCACAUACUUGCCACUCCGGAGGUAGGCAGAGGCGAAACCAAGAUUAAGAAUUUGGGGGUUCUAAAUUUUUUUAAUAACUGUCAAUCAAUUUUGUUAGGAGUUCACAAAUUAAUAUACAUAUAUAUUUAAUUAAUUUUUUAGUACAAAUAUAAGGUCUACAAAAAAGCUACUGAAUUUAUCUGAACCCAUGAACCUCACCUAGCUCCGCAUCUGGACGUAGGCACAACAAAAUCAUUGUACAUACGAGCAACACUGAAGUGGCCUCUUGUCCAGCAAAAUAGAAUAACUUGCACUCUACACCAUACAAAUAUUUCAGACAAUUAUUUUUUAAGUAUCCUAUCAAAUCAAACCAACUCAUCUCAAAUAGACUAACUCAUUCAUAUCUACACAGAGUCUUAAUCAGUAUCAAUAUGAUGUAUACGUUCAGAAAAAUGUGAAGAUAGAUUUUUGUCACCACUCUAUCCACCAUAUAUAUAUAUAUAAAAUAAGGCACUCAAAAAAAAAGAAGAAAGAAUUAAUCAAAAAUCAGGACCACAUAAAAGAACAAAAUUAAUUUAUUUUUUAAAAAAAAAAAAACUAGCUUCUUUUAUUACUUCCUCUCCCCCAAUCAAUAUCACUCACUUUAAAUAUUACUAUAUGUCCCUAAUUACUUGUCCACUUUUGAAUUGACACACUUAUUAAGAAAAUAAUUAAUGACAUAGUGAGUUUAUCAUUUUACCCCUAUUAAUUAUGAAGUGGAUGAAAAGUUCUACAUUUUCAAAAUAAUUAGUCAUUAAAUUGAGGGUAUAAUAGGUAAAAAGAAUUUGUCCUUUCUCGAUUUGUCAAAAUGGACAAGUAAUUAGGGACAACAAUAAAAGGAAAAGUGGACAAAUAAUUAGGGACAUAGGGAGUAUUAGCAGAAGAAACUCAAAGGACUAAGAAAAUAAUUAAAUGCUUGGAAUGUGAAAAGGGAGUAAAUAUGAAGUAGAAAUGUUAGUGCCUUUAAAAACUUUGUGCUCAAAUAUUGCCAUGUAAUGUCAGAUUCCAAUUAAAUCUCUUACCUCUUAAUUACACACAAGUUCAUAAAAAUUAAAACGUUUUGGAUUUUCUUUCAAUUUUUAAUUAAAAGUCUUUUAAAUAAACAUUAAAUAUGAAAGAGAAAUACUCCCUCUGUCCCUAAUUACUUGCCCACUUUUGAAUUGAUACACCUAUUAAGAAAAAUUAUUGACAUAGUGAGUUUACCAUUUUACUCCUAUUAAUUAUGAAGUGGAUGAAUUAAAAACUUAAUAUUUCAAGAAGUUCUACAUAUUUCAAAGUAAUUAAUUGAGGGUAUAAUAGAUAAAAAUUGUAUCAUUUUUUUAUUUGUCAAAAUAGACAAGUAAUUAGGGACAACUAAAAAAGGAAAUGUGGACAAGUAAUUAGGGACAUAGGGAGUAUGAGUGUAUUAUAAAACUUCUUGCUCAAAUGUUGUCUUAUUCUAUAAAUAAUCAUAUUCCAACUAAAUCUCUUACCUCUUAAUUACACACCAAAUUCAUAAAAAUUAAAACGAUUUAUUUUACUCUAUUGUUUUUGAAUUAAUUUCCUAUCUUUUUUCUUCUUAUUUAUAUAAUGAUAACAUAAUAAUAUACUAAUAUUUUAUAUGUAUAAAAAAUCAGCCCACGUAAUAGUAAUAUAUCAUGCCUUCAAUAUUGAGUUUUAAUUCCUCAAUAAACUGAAUAAUUAAUGGAUAGUGAAUGUCUAUGUUUCUUCAUCUUUCCCCUUCCUAUAACCCCCAUAUAUUCAACAAUUACACUUACAUUUACUUUUUACAUCAAAUUUUGGGAACAAUGAUUUUUAAAUAAUAUUGUUGCAUAUAUAUAUUUUUCAUUCCUUUUCAACAAUAGUGUAUGUUAUGCUGAUUAAUAAAUAGUGUAUAUGUGAUGCUGAUAUAUAAUAAAAGAAAAGGUAAUGCAAAUAGAGAGGUGAUCGUAUAGGUACGUAAUUCUUUUGUCCACUUUUAAUUAAUUUAUUUUUGGAUGAGGGAGAAUGCUUUUAUGAUGAUAUGAAAAUUUUGAUUAAUAUCUAUUUGAUAUUUUUUUUGUUGUGAUAAAAAACUGUAAUUAAUUAAUUUUUAAAAGAAUAAAAAUAUCUAAUAUCUUUCUAUGGAUAUUUUCGCUUUUCUUCAUUUGACAUGACACUUUUCCAAUUUUAAUAUUUAAUCAUAAUAUGCUAUGAUUAUUAUUUAAUAUUUAAUUAAUUAGAUAUUUUAUAAUAUACUAAAUUAAGUGUAGGGGAAAAAUGAUAUUUCAACUUUUACUUUAUGUGGUUUUCCACUUUUAGUAUAAUAUGAUAUGAUAUGAUGAUUAGUACUACGUAGUAGUAUACGGACCACUACUCGAAAUCUUGGUGCAACUAAAGCGAGCUUACUAAAGACAAGGACGGAGUAACUUCCACUAGACUAGUUAAGCCUACUACUUGGAUAAGUUAGUUCAUUUCGGAAAUCUUGCCGUAACUACUAACCCAUAUAGGGUUAAUGAACCUUCUGUAACCCCUUAACUAAAUAUAUUAUAUAAUCUUGUUAUCCAAAAAAAAUCACUUUAAUUAGUAGACUAUUAGCUACCUAAGAUGGAGAACCUCACAUAUUUUCAGAAAGGGGCUAAAACUAAAACCCAAAUCUCAGAUAAAUAUGAAAUUUGAAUCUUACCUGGCAAAAUGUGUGAAAUACACCCAAGUCACGCCGUCGAGGUAAAAUUCAAGUAAUUAUUUGUUCAAGUUUGGGAUAGUUAAAGUGCCUACUUGUACACUAGCAAAGUUAAACAUACAAAGUUAAAGUGCCUACUUUUGCACCAGUAUAUCGAUCCAAAUGAUGCAUGUAGAUCAACGUACAACACCAACGACGUAAAAUAUCAUCUUAAAGUUUGUGCAUAAGGAGAGGAGCACCAUACUGAGGAUGAAUAGUCACUACUGCAAAUGGAGCAUGUGUAUAUGAUGGUGAUAGUUCAAAGGAAAACCUUUGUAGUAUCAUUGCUAUCGCCAUUUUUGCUUCCAUCAUUGCAAAGUUUUGUCCGAUGCAAACACGCGGUCCCCAGCUAAAUGGGAUAAACGAGACUUGUCCUUUUGUUGCCUUUGACACUCCUUCACUGAAUCUUUCUGGUUUGAAUUCCUUUGCGUCUUCACCCCAUAUCUCCUUAUCAUAAUGUACUAGGAUUGUGGGUAUAACAAGUAGCACUCCGGCUGGUAGAUUUAGCUCCCCCAAUUUC
This 7008-nucleotide long non-coding RNA is filed under the name Solanum tuberosum (potato). RNAcentral describes it as "long non-coding RNA (STUB_LNC007697)". The record is from RNAcentral. Lineage: Eukaryota; Viridiplantae; Streptophyta; Magnoliopsida; Solanales; Solanaceae.